RNAcentral lists this long non-coding RNA (2225 nucleotides) under Lynx pardinus (Iberian lynx). The record is from RNAcentral. Lineage: Eukaryota; Metazoa; Chordata; Mammalia; Carnivora; Felidae.
GGAGAAUCUGACACUACUGAAGGGUUUCCUUUUUCUUUCCUGUGGGGCAACUCCACUUUGCAGUAAUGGAAUAUCGUGAAUUAGCUGAGAUAAUAGCAGACCCCUUUGGAAUUUGCCCAGGGCUUCAGCUUUAUCAUAGGUGAGACGAAUGAGAGCCAAAAAGCAAUAAUCUCUUUUUUCUGGACUAGCAGUACCUAUCGUGUAGAGUUAUUUGAAGACUGGUUGUAUUCUUGGUAGAAUUAUUAACCCUGCCCAUAUACCUACUCCUUCAGUUUUCUGCCUGGCAAGCAUAUAGGGGCCACCUAAACAGGUAAGAAUCUUCCUUUAUUUGUUAAUUUUUAUAAAGAGCUGUCAAUCUUGUCUUUACACCCAGUUGAUUUUUAGAGUACAUGGAGCUGGCCUUAUUUGAAAACAAAAAAUAUUUACAAUUUACUCUCAAAAUAUAACCUCAAACUAUCUAUUGCCCAAUCCAUGCAAGAAAUAUAGUCAAAGAGAAUUAUCCGAAUGAGCCACAGGUCCUGAAGCUUCCUCAAUCAGCUUUUCCAAAAUGCGUUCCCCAGGGAACAUGAUUUUAUAAGAUGUCACUUCCUGGUAUCCGGUGAAAAAUGGAUUCAUGAUGAAAUACACCAGUUUGAACAAAGUUAAAUUACUUUCCGCAGGAUUUCUCUGGGCCUUUCAUAAGUGUGAAUUUCCAAAAAGGGAAAGAGGAUAUAGCAUUUCUCAAAUUACUUAACCACAGAAACAUUUCUCCCCUGAAUAUCUAACAGGACUAGUGUUCUGUGAAGCCAAAUGAGAAACUAUCUCUAGACAGCUUCCAUGCUAUUUCAAGAUUAAGAAGAAUCAGGUUGCAUACCUGAACCUCCUUGUUUUGAGCCACUCACCCCAUCCCCAAAUAUUUUUACUGAAUUAUAAUUUGUUAUUAUGCCCCUGGUUUCACUGCAGGAUCCUACAGGAAACUUGCAAUUGAAUUCACUGCAGGAAAUGUUUAAUUUAUCUACUACAUCUCCAUAUUGUAGUGUCCCCUUUAUGAGAUCUGUAUGAAACUGCUCUCAUAUAUCAAGUUCUGGGGAGAAAACUCUCCCAAACAUCAAGUCCCAGGAAAAGCUGCGCUGGUGUGUUUUCACCAUGGCAAAUCUUCCCCUGAUCGUGUUUUCCUCUUUGCUUAGAUUAGGGAAGCUCAGGCUAAAUUUAAAGCCCACUUUUAAUAAUUAUUUAGCACCUUACGUUUCAUAUUUUAUGUAAUAUCUCUUUAAUAUAUUAAAGGGAUGUAAUAUAAUCCCUUUAUUAUAUUAAUUAACCUAUAUUUUUCUCUUCAUCAGAUUUGUCUUUUAAUAACCUUCACAGAGUUGUAUAUUCUUUUAUACACUACAUCAAAUCCUUUAGAUAAUGCAUUAGAAUGUAAAUUAAUCUAUGAUGUCUUUACCCACAUGAAAAUCAUAUUCACACUGCCCCUUAGGAGACAGAUAAUGAUUUUCACAUGAUCCUUACUUCAUUCAAAUAUCAGAUAUGCAACUCGUGGUCUCCUAUCUUCUUGUAUCUUCUUCCUAGACUUACCACUGGGUUCGCAUAGUUAAUGAAAUGCACAAGGCACAUGUUCAUUCAUGACCCAUCGCCAUGAAAUCCCAACUGAUAUGUUUCCUUCUGUAUAGAGGUUUACCAAAACCCACUUUUCAUUUUCUCUCUGUCUAAAUUUUUUCGGGUCACCUGAAGAGCUAGAAGCACUGCCCAUGACUAGGUGGCUAAGGAAAUGAGGAACCUUGCUUUGUAAGAGUGGACCAGCAUCGAGAAUUUACAAAGAACUAAACACUGACUGGAGAGAAGAGGAGAAAAAAAUGAAUCUCUACUCACUGAAAAUAAUAUCACAUAAUCCAGAUUUGGCAAUUACCUGCAUCUGGGAUGUGUGUUUAUAAAAUUAGAGCUAAUAAAAGCAGUGACGUGCAGCUAUGGAUGUCUCAAUUUGGUUAAAAUUAAACUCUCAGGUUUUACAUAUCAUUCUUUGCUAAUUCCCUUCUAGUACUUAUUUCUUAACUGCUUUUUAAAAUGUUAUGCAAAGUUCAUUGACUUAAUUCUCCCAACAGAUUUUCCUGUAAUUUUCGGUUAAACAGUACCCUUUAUGUACAGGUCCUUCGGUCACCAGCACUGAACAGAAAGAGGCUCUGAUUCAUGAAAUGUGAAUUUCUGACAGUUGCCACUUUUUUAAAAAAGAACUUGAGCAAUACAGGACU